Siniperca chuatsi (mandarin fish) is the source of this 639-nucleotide long non-coding RNA. RefSeq lists it as uncharacterized. NCBI's taxonomy places the organism in Eukaryota, Metazoa, Chordata, Actinopteri, Centrarchiformes, Sinipercidae. The record is from RefSeq and is a predicted model, not a curated record. The transcript is spliced from 3 exons.
CGAUGUUCCUGACGUUGUGGCCCCUGCUGUCCACUACGGGAGAACGGCUGGUUAGCCGUAGCCAGCAAUACGUUAAAGUGUUAGCAGACAUGCCAUCCGUUGCCAGCAGCGCUCUAGAUGAGUUUGUUGCUGGGCGACCAGAAACUUUGGCUGGCCAGAUGUCGAAGCUUGGCUAACUGGCUGCCCAUGUGAAUCUAUGGGGUGGACAGAGGUACGAUGCAUUCGCGCUCCACAAAUCCUAAUGUCGGAGCCUUUCAGGUACAAGAAGGGGAGUGUGGACCAGGGGGAGGCCUGGUCUACUAUUGCAGACGCCUUGAAUAGUUCCCUGGACCUUCAAUUUAAAGUGUAGGAUGGAGGAGCAAGCGAGGAGGGCACAACAGUCGCAGCAGCAGGUGAUGGAGACGAUGCAAAUGAGGCAGCAGCAGCAGGCUCCCCCGGCCGGCAGUGGUCCCCCGGCCGCCGUGCUCCCCCGGCCGGCAGUGCUCCCCCGGCCUGUUCCUCCGGCAGUGCUCCCCCGGCCCCGGCCGUGCUCCCCCAGCAGCAAGGGCAAGCAGUGCUUUCUAACUGAUGAACUUCCCAAGGAAAGUUGAGAUGUUUAAUAUCCAAUAUUUAAUAAUAAAACAAAAUAUAAUACAUACA